Molecule: microRNA precursor, 139 nt
Filed under: Loxodonta africana (African savanna elephant)
Lineage: Eukaryota; Metazoa; Chordata; Mammalia; Proboscidea; Elephantidae
Description: miRNA (ENSLAFG00000023580.1)
Rfam family: mir-1302 microRNA precursor family (bases 40-91)
Source: RNAcentral
CCGACUGAAAUUUGAACUUUAGAUAAACAACGAAGUCUUUUUUUAGUGUAAGUAUGUCCCAUGCAGUAUUUAGGACAUACUUAUGCUAAAACAUUAUUCGUUGCUUAUCUGAAAUUCAAAUUUAACUGGGCAUCUUUUA